AGAGUUUGAUCCUGGCUCAGACGAACGCUGGCGGCGUGCUUUACACAUGCAAGUCGAACGAUGAAGUUCCUUCGGGAAUGGAUUAGUGGCGAACGGGUGAGGAACACGUGAGAAAUCUGCCCUUCAUUUUGGGAUAACUCCGGGAAACCGGGGCUAAUACCAAAUACUCCAUCCCGGUGGCAUCACUGGGCUGGGAAAGAAUUUCGAUGAAGGUUGAUCUCGCGGCCUAUCAGCUAGUUGGUGAGGUAAUGGCUCACCAAGGCAACGACGGGUAGCCGGCCUGAGAGGGCGACCGGCCACACUGGGACUGAGACACGGCCCAGACUCCUACGGGAGGCAGCAGUGGGGAAUAUUGGGCAAUGGGCGCAAGCCUGACCCAGCGACGCCGCGUGAGGGAUGAAGGUCUUCGGAUUGUAAACCUCUUUCAGUGGGGAAGAAGCGAAAGUGACGGUACCCAAAGAAGAAGCACCGGCUAACUAUGUGCCAGCAGCCGCGGUAAUACAUAGGGUGCAAGCGUUGUCCGGAAUUAUUGGGCGUAAAGAGCUCGUAGGUGGUUUAUCACGUCGGAUGUGAAAUUCUGAGGCUCAACCUCGGACCUGCAUUCGAUACGGGCAAACUAGAGUGUGGUAGGGGAGACUGGAAUUCCUGGUGUAGCGGUGGAAUGCGCAGAUAUCAGGAGGAACACCAAUGGCGAAGGCAGGUCUCUGGGCCAUUACUGACACUGAGGAGCGAAAGCGCGGGGAGCGAACAGGAUUAGAUACCCUGGUAGUCCGCGCCGUAAACGGUGGGCACUAGUUGUGGGAACCUUCCACGGUUUCCGCGACGCAGCUAACGCAUUAAGUGCCCCGCCUGGGGAGUACGAUCGCA
Molecule: ribosomal RNA, 867 nt
Filed under: marine metagenome
Description: bacterial SSU rRNA
Rfam family: Bacterial small subunit ribosomal RNA
Source: RNAcentral